Danio rerio (zebrafish) is the source of this 778-nucleotide non-coding RNA. The record is from Ensembl. NCBI's taxonomy places the organism in Eukaryota, Metazoa, Chordata, Actinopteri, Cypriniformes, Danionidae.
GCAUUAAUGAAAUAAACACGCACAGGGUGGACGCACAGUCAGUCGAGUGAACACUGAAGACAGAUUAAGGGGAUUUCUAUGAUAUUCCAGGAUAUUUUACAACAGAUUUGACUUUGUGAUUGUCUCGGCCAGCAGAAGAUCGAGAUCAGCUUUAACCUGAUGGAGUAAAACAGGUGAACUGGAAAGCUCAUGUAAACACUGGCAGCGAUGAAUGGACAAUCCUCCGAGACUCUGGUAAUGAAGAUGUAAAGCUCUGAGUCUCUGGAUGGUUCAGGAUGGAUGAGUCUCUGGCUUCUACAGACCUGUGAUGACCAUUCAUUUCCAGCACAGGUUAAACCACAGUCAAACUUCAUGAGGACUGAUCAUUCAUCAUGCAUUUACGGAUGUGUCGGUUAAACGGUUUUGGUGUUGUCGUGGCAACAGGCGACCGUCAUGAAGCUGAGACGCAUACGCCGCCUAGUGGACCUGAUGGAGAACUGCGUUUGCUGGCAAUACUCCAUUACUUUGUGCUCUGGGCAAAAUAAUUUGACGAGACAUAAGUGAGAAAUCCUGAUCCUGAAGAUCCACUUUCCAGAGUGAAGCUCCAACCUGAUGAAAACACCUGAGGCUUUUAAUUAAGGACUUUCAGCAAACGAGAAGCUUCAAGGCAAAUGUGUGACAAACUCUGUAAUUCAGAUGAUGAUAAUAAAAGAUUGAUUUGACUAAACUGAUGAUGCUUUUACAAAUCGUGUAUGUGUUUCACUGUGAGUUUGAGUUAAUAAAAAGUGAUUUAAAAGUA